AUAGAUUUGAGCACAGUAGGUCUUUUCCAGCC
Molecule: non-coding RNA, 32 nt
Filed under: Mus musculus (house mouse)
Lineage: Eukaryota; Metazoa; Chordata; Mammalia; Rodentia; Muridae
Source: RNAcentral